This 395-nucleotide long non-coding RNA is filed under the name Ananas comosus (pineapple). RNAcentral's name for it is "long non-coding RNA (ACOM_LNC034732)". The record is from RNAcentral. Lineage: Eukaryota; Viridiplantae; Streptophyta; Magnoliopsida; Poales; Bromeliaceae.
AGAAGGCACGCACUCGUUUGCAUGAAUCUAAUCACGCCCGAGUAGUAGGUUAUAUUGACUAUCUGCAUCAACCACAAAGAAUGCAGUUCGUAAAGUUUUAGAACCUACCGUGAUUUCGGUCGUAAGCACUCCUCGAGCUUGCUGACCGCUCCCAGUAAAGUCGGUCAUGAUCGUGUCCGUGGGUUUCAACUCGUCUUCAUCUUUGCCCAACUUUUUGAAGAAUGCAGUGGGCAUGACAUUGACCAUCGCUCCGCCAUCCACCAUCACUCGGCCUACUGGCCGACCUUCAAUUAAGGUCUUUAUAAAGAGAGGCCUUAUGAAUCUCGUCUGCAUAGCCGAUGGUUUCUCAAAAACUACUGCAUCGGCCAGUUGAACAUCUUCCAAUUGCAACUGGG